RNAcentral lists this transfer RNA (72 nucleotides) under Marmota monax (woodchuck). RNAcentral describes it as "tRNA.Val". Lineage: Eukaryota; Metazoa; Chordata; Mammalia; Rodentia; Sciuridae. The record is from RNAcentral.
GAGGAUGCAGCUCCAUUGGUAGAGUGUCUGCCUCACAUGCACAAGACCCUGGGUUCAAUCCUCAGCACCACA